RNAcentral lists this long non-coding RNA (346 nucleotides) under Malus domestica (apple). Its description in RNAcentral is "long non-coding RNA (MDOM_LNC000348)". The record is from RNAcentral. Lineage: Eukaryota; Viridiplantae; Streptophyta; Magnoliopsida; Rosales; Rosaceae.
CUUCGGGCAUCCUUUGUUUAGGUCAGUGUAAUCGACACACAUUAUCCACAAGACCUUUUGGAGCAGGAGACUUUCCUUGGUCAGAUUCUUCUUAACAAGGACAACAUUUGCUACCCACGUUGGAUAAUUGACUUCGCGGACGAAGCCUAUGCUUUUGAGUUUUUCAACUUCUGCCUUCAUUGCCUCGUACCGUUCAGCGUCAUAAGACCUUCGCUUCUGUCUCACUGGCUUGGUUUUGGAGUCAAUACUUAAGCGAUGACAGAUGAUAUCGGGAGAGAUGUCUGGCAUGUCCUCGUAUAACCAGGCGAAGACCUCAGUGUUCUCUUGCAAAAAAGAGAUCAAUGCC